This 428-nucleotide unclassified non-coding RNA is filed under the name Cordylanthus capitatus. Its description in RNAcentral is "partial external transcribed spacer". Lineage: Eukaryota; Viridiplantae; Streptophyta; Magnoliopsida; Lamiales; Orobanchaceae. The record is from RNAcentral.
UUCGGCCUGUGUUGGCGCGUUGGAUCCCUGCUCGAGCAGCGACAACGUCUCACGCAGGCCUCUUCGGUUGUUGGCCCGAGCACGUCUCGGCCAUUGUCAGUUUCUUGUUUUGGAUACCUACUUUGAGGGCAUUCUUCGGUCGGAAAUGAUGAGCUUCCGCCUCUUGCCGCGCCCCUCGGGGAUGCGGUGUCGGGUGGACCUCAAAGCACGCUUCGUGUCCCAUGUCCCUUGCACAACUAUGUGCUUGGUCUUUUGGCCCAUGCUGCCGUGCGCGAUAUCUCGGAUACGGAACAUUGUGCGGGCACGAGGCCCUCGGCCUCUAUCUUGCCCAAACUUCGAGCGACCUACGCUUCGUGCGAAAGACUGUCCCUUGCGUGUUGAACGGGUCCACGUGGCCCGUCUCAUGCGCCUGCGACGUCCGUGGGGAA